AUCCAGCUGACGAGUCCCCAAUAGGACUGAACGCUCCUCCUGUAU
Molecule: non-coding RNA, 45 nt
Organism: Schistosoma margrebowiei
Lineage: Eukaryota; Metazoa; Platyhelminthes; Trematoda; Strigeidida; Schistosomatidae
Source: Rfam